Molecule: ribosomal RNA, 238 nt
Filed under: uncultured Actinomycetales bacterium
Lineage: Bacteria; Bacillati; Actinomycetota; Actinomycetes; Actinomycetales
Description: partial 16S ribosomal RNA
Rfam family: Bacterial small subunit ribosomal RNA
Source: RNAcentral
CGAGUGGCGAACGGGUGAGUAACACGUGGGUGAUCUGCCCUGCACUUCGGGAUAAGCCUGGGAAACUGGGUCUAAUACCGGAUAGGACGAUGGUUUGGAUGCCAUUGUGGAAAGUUUUUCGGUGUGGGAUGGGCUCGCGGCCUAUCAGUUUGUUGGUGAGGUAGUGGCUCACCAAGGCGAUGACGGGUAGCCGGCCUGAGAGGGCGACCGGCCACACUGGGACUGAGACACGGCCCAG